This 310-nucleotide long non-coding RNA is filed under the name Gallus gallus (chicken). The record is from RNAcentral. Lineage: Eukaryota; Metazoa; Chordata; Aves; Galliformes; Phasianidae.
UGGUCAUUGGGGUCCACGCUGAUGGUGUGGUUGAUGAUGAUGGGAUCUGGGUGCUGCAGGAGCCCCGCUAACUUCAUGGGGAUCUCAGAGAAGCGCAUACGGACACAGUUGAAGAUCUGGCGGAAGUAGCGGUUGCAGUUGAUGUACUCCUUCUCAUGACUGUCCUGCAGCUUGUUGUGCUUGAUGUAAAGCCAGAGCGCCUGCAUGAUGCUGGCACGGGUCUGGGUGUGCACCCCCAGCAGGCGAGCCAGGCGAGGGUCCAGUUUGUAUUGUGGUGGCUGGUGAUCCAGCAUCAGCAGCAGGGUGCACU